This 449-nucleotide ribosomal RNA is filed under the name uncultured bacterium. RNAcentral's name for it is "partial 16S ribosomal RNA". It matches the Rfam family "Bacterial small subunit ribosomal RNA", at positions 29 to 523 of the family's 1533-position model. The record is from RNAcentral.
AACGAACGCUGGCGGCAUGCCUAACACGUGCAAGUCGAACGAAGGCUUCGGCCUUAGUGGCGCACGGGUGAGUAACGCGUGGGAAACUGCCUAUUGGUGGGGAAUAACGACGGGAAACUGUCGCUAAUACCGCAUAAGCCCUUCGGGGGAAAGAGUUAUCGCCGAUAGAUGUGCCCGCGUCCGAUUAGCUAGUUGGUGAGGUAAUGGCUCAGCAAGGCGACGAUCGGUAGCUGGUCUGAGAGGAUGAUCAGCCACACUGGGACUGAGACACGGCCCAGAGUCCUACGGGAGGCAGCAGGGGGGAAGAUUGGACAAUGGGCGAAAGCCUGAUCCAGCAAUGCCGCGUGAGUGAUGAAGGCCUUAGGGUUGUAAAGCUCUUUCGGGUGGGACGAUGAUGACGGUACCACCAGAAGAAGCCCCGGCUAACUUCGUGCCAGCCGCCGCCGUAA